Molecule: long non-coding RNA, 801 nt
Filed under: Cricetulus griseus (Chinese hamster)
Lineage: Eukaryota; Metazoa; Chordata; Mammalia; Rodentia; Cricetidae
Description: lncRNA (ENSCGRG00015024467.2)
Source: RNAcentral
GGGGACUGUGUGGAAGGAGACAGAGUAGAGAGGGUAUGUGAAGACCAGAGGAGCCACAGCUGUUUUUCUCUCUGAGUCAAAUCCUACUCAGGUUCUUUGUCCCACGAUCCCUGUCCCAACCCACAGCCCACAGCGAUUGCUCCAUUCCUUACGCCCUCCUCUAAGGAAUCUGAGCUUCUUGUCUUGUUCCACCUAAAGCGUGACCACACUGAGGUGUUUUGAGACAACAACAAAGCUGGUUCCCACCUCUCUGGCUAUGACUUCCUGGGUGACUGCUUGGAGGAAAAGAGGACCACAAGGAGACUGGUGCACAGAAUUCAUGAGCCUGACUGUCUCCCUGUCUCAUAGUCUUGGUCUAGGGAAUGCGAUCUAUGACUGGAAUGACUGGAGCAAGCAACCCUGGAGCCAGAGGACAAAGGGAUCUUCACCUUGGAUGGUGUGGCAAAUGCCAGAUUCGUCUGCAAGAUGCCAUUUGAAUAAAAGUUGAAGACAGAAGAACAAUUUUCCAUAAGUGGACUCAACGCAAAUGUUUUACUGAGUUUCUAUUGCUGUGAUGAAACACCAUGAUCAGAAACAAGUUGGGGAGGAAAGGGCUUAUUGGGUUUAUACUUCCACAUCAUAGUCUAUCAUUGAAGGAAGCCAGGACAGGGACUCAAGCAGGGCUGGAAUGUGGAGGCAGGAGCUGAUGCAGAGGCUGUGGAGGAUUGCUAAUUACUGGCUUGCCCAUCAUGCCUCGUUCAGCCUGCUUUCUUAUAGAACCUAGGACCACCAGCCCGGGGAUGACAGCGCCCACAAUGUGCU